AACGAACGCUGGCGGCGUGCCUAAUACAUGCAAGUCGAACGUGAACAGGGGCAACCCUUAGUAAAGUGGCGCACGGGUGAGUAACACGUAGGUAAUCUGCCUUUUAGUGGGGAAUAACACAGCGAAAGUUGUGCUAAUGCCGCAUACGUAAGUAAUUAGAAAGGGGGCGUCCGCAAGGAGCUCUCGCUGAAAGAAGAGCCUGCGGCCUAUUAGCUAGUUGGUGGGGUAAUGGCCUACCAAGGCAACGAUAGGUAUCCGGUCUGAGAGGAUGAUCGGACACACUGGAACUGAGACACGGUCCAGACUCCUACGGGAGGCAGCAGUAGGGAAUAUUGCGCAAUGGGGGAAACCCUGACGCAGCAACGCCGCGUGAGUGAGGAAGGUCUUCGGAUUGUAAAACUCUUUUCUUAGGGAAAAAUGGUGACCGAGCUAAUACCCGGUUAUUUGAUGGUACCUAAGGAAUAAGCACCGGCUAACUUCGUG
RNAcentral lists this ribosomal RNA (483 nucleotides) under uncultured bacterium. RNAcentral describes it as "bacterial SSU rRNA". It matches the Rfam family "Bacterial small subunit ribosomal RNA", at positions 29 to 507 of the family's 1533-position model. The record is from RNAcentral.